UACUCUUCGAACGGCCUGUUUUUCGAAGUCUACUGUGAACGGUGCGGACUGCGUACAAUUGCAGGAAGGAACCUGUUGAGGAGAGUGCUCUUACGCCCACCGCGUAGGACGAAAUCGCAACUCUGCAAUACGAGUUACGCGGAGAAAAAGAUUGUAACGUGUGCGGAUGCUCAAACUGCUCGAAUUUCACGUACAGAAAAUGCUAACAUAACUAAAUCGAUUCUACGAUGCAACGACCGACGUUUUCCGGGUCAGCCUGCCCGACUACCUGUUAGAAAAAGCCGUGCCGCCGCGGUACACACGGCCCUGAAUCGUUGCGCAUGGCACGCAUGUUGCCGGUUGCACACGCCGCGCGUUAUGCUUGUCAAGCCACUCGGAACCAAGCCCGGCCGCGGUGGGGAACGAUCGAUAAAUUCCAAGUCCCGACGUCGUCCCGGCAAGUGACUACUCCGCUGCAUUAUCUGAGAGGUCGAGCCGCGCCGUACGCCAGAAUCAACCGAAGAUGCCGGGACCAGGAUGCGACAAGUGCAAGGAUAAAUGCCAGGACUGCAAGUGCGGCGACAACUGCUCGUGUUGCUGCGAUUCCGGAUGCAAAGAUCAAUGCAGCUGCAAAUCGGGCGGAAAGUGCUCGUGCAAGCAAGGCACUUGCAAUUGUUAAUUAAUUAUCAUAACAUUAAUUAAUAAUCCAUAUUGAAAGUGAUAAUGUAAUGUGAUGAAGACAUUCAACAUGUAGACAUAAUUUGGAGUAUCUUAUAUUAUCAUUGUUGAAAUGAAGUUUUUCGCUUCAUGAGAAUUUUGCAAUAAAAUGCAAGCUUUUUUGUUAAAUGCACAGCUAAUGAGAUAAUAAAAUUCGUAGACUUUA
Molecule: RNA transcript, 862 nt
Organism: Ooceraea biroi (clonal raider ant)
Lineage: Eukaryota; Metazoa; Arthropoda; Insecta; Hymenoptera; Formicidae
Source: RefSeq, a predicted model, not a curated record